Long non-coding RNA from Setaria italica (foxtail millet), 223 nucleotides. RefSeq lists it as uncharacterized. Lineage: Eukaryota; Viridiplantae; Streptophyta; Magnoliopsida; Poales; Poaceae. The record is from RefSeq and is a predicted model, not a curated record. The transcript has 3 exons.
UUGGAUAGUAGAGCUGGAUUGUGAUGCAUGUAUGACAAGUGGGCUACAACCAGUCUUAGGAGCAAGAUAGGACUGACAAUCGCUAUCUAGAUCCCGAUCCCCUGUCUCUUCUCCUUCUCGUGGAAGAUCUGCAAGCAGAAGCCCCAGGAGCAGAAGCGCAUCCCGUUCCCGUUCUCCUGUAAUGGCAAACUUCCUGAGCAAUCGCUUAUUGUGUCGCUAGGAA